UUCUUUUGAAUCACAAACAGAAUAUCCCUUCAGCCACCAGUAUCUCAAACCCUUGGUAAAACCAGCUCCUGGCUAAAUUCAUCACAAGCCACAGGUUGUGUUUUAUGGUCUACGGUUGAUUUAUGGGUACAAAAACAAAAAGUCAGUGCAGCGUGGCUCUUGCAGCGCUCUUCUUGUGGCAACACUUCACAACGCAGACCAAGCCUCUCCCAGCUGAAGAACAAAAACUUAUCGUUACAGGAGCAGAAACAAAGCAUUAUGCACACCUUGCUGCUUCCAUUACCUCAGGUACAGACGCCCCCCAAAAUAUGUAUUAUUCUCUAGGAAAACUCAGCUCAGAUUCCGUCUGUGGUUUUCACCAAGAAUACUGCUUUUCCCUUCUUCCCGCACAACUUUCCAGCCAGAUUGACUGAACUGCAGAAAGGUCAGAUGACUUACUUGGAGGUCCCUUCAGAUUGUCAUCGAGUUGCCCUCAAUUUGAGCUGAAGAGAGGUCUGGUCCCUAUACUGCAGCCGGAGACACAGAGAUCGGGUUUCCAGAACGCUAGCAAUCCCCAGCUUGCCGCAAAGUCAGAUGGAGACGAGUGGCCACGGAGACCACUCAGGAAGAAAAAGGAAAUAAAGAAGAGUGACAGUUUGCAGGGGAAGAGUCAUGUGAAACAUCAGCAGAGCAGCAUCAGCGGUGGCACAGAGGGAAAAGCCCCACUACAGAAGUGCCCCCAGAUGGUCACGCGCCAAUGUCCGUGACCUCGUGAGCAGCAGCAACUCAGGUUAAGCGUGUGCUUUGCAGAUGGACAAAGCCCAGUCUGUGUACAGGUUUUUUCCUUGUGGCUGUAAAAUUCAGAGGUGGGAGAGAAACCUGGGCUGUAUCAUAGACUGCCGGUGGUCCGCCCCCUCCACCCAGCGCUGCAGACCGUCCAAAACAUUGUCAUUGCACCCCAGAAGGCAAGCAGGCCUGGGAUAGAUCCAGAACGGAUUACAACAUAAUCCAAUUCACAGGGAGGGGUAUUUUUGAAAGAGGAUUAUGUGUUUUGUUUUGUUUUGUUUUGUUUUUUCCCAUCUGGCUGCCUUCCAGAAAAUAAAUAAAUGCUGUAAUUCUCAUGUAAUGUUUUUAGAAGGCAUGGCGAUGGAAAGAGAAGGCUCUUUUCCAUGUCCAUGUAAGAGAGCGGGAGGAAGAAAGCUGAUUUUUUGCAGCAGUGUGCCAAGCAAUCUCAGGAUAUGCGAGUCAGAAAUGCUGGUGUUUCCCACUGCGCAUUCAAGAACAGCAUGAAACUGAAGAAAACGGUGCUGCAUUUCUAAUCAGAACAAUGUAAUACGGGUGUUGGGUCUGCAUCCCAUCAUCAAAAGGCCUCCUCCUGAACCCUUUAUGACCUUCAGAGAGGUUUGCAUAAUUAUCUUGAUUAAAGGCACAGCACAAUUUUAGCACCAAAGCCCACAAAUUACCAAGGCCCGCAUGUUUUGCAAAAUAAUACCGUUCAUGUGAUUAUUUGUUUUGCUCUAAUCAUUUCUGAAAUAUUACUCCAUUGCUUAGAUUUGAAUUGCUGGUUGUAACAGAUAGCCAGUUUGCAAAUAAAAUAUAAGU
Molecule: long non-coding RNA, 1581 nt
Organism: Lagopus leucura (white-tailed ptarmigan)
Lineage: Eukaryota; Metazoa; Chordata; Aves; Galliformes; Phasianidae
Exons: 5
Source: RefSeq, a predicted model, not a curated record